GACGAACGCUGGCGGCGUGCUUAACACAUGCAAGUCGAACGGAAAGGCCCUGCUUUUGUGGGGUGCUCGAGUGGCGAAAGGGUGAGUAACACGUGAGUAACCUGCCCUUGACUUUGGGAUAACUUCAGGAAACUGGGGCUAAUACCGGAUAUGAGCUCCUGCUGCAUGGUGGGGGUUGGAAAGUUUCGGCGGUUGGGGAUGGACUCGCGGCUUAUCAUCUUGUUGGUGGGGUAGUGGCUUACCAAGGCUUUGACGGGUAGCCGGCCUGAGAGGGUGACCGGCCACAUUGGGACUGAGAUACGGCCCAGACUCCUACGGGAGGCAGCAGUGGGGAAUAUUGCACAAUGGGCGGAAGCCUGAUGCAGCAACGCCGCGUGCGGGAUGACGGCCUUCGGGUUGUAAACCGCUUUCGCCUGUGACGAAGCGUGAGUGACGGUAAUGGGUAAAGAAGCACCGGCUAACUACGUG
This 468-nucleotide ribosomal RNA is filed under the name uncultured bacterium. Its description in RNAcentral is "partial 16S ribosomal RNA". It matches the Rfam family "Bacterial small subunit ribosomal RNA", at positions 28 to 507 of the family's 1533-position model. The record is from RNAcentral.